UUGACCUCAAAUCAGGUAGGACUACCCGCUGAACUUAAGCAUAUCAAUAAGCGGAGGAAAAGAAACUAACAAGGAUUCCCCUAGUAACUGCGAGUGAAGCGGGAAAAGCUCAAAUUUAAAAUCUGAUGGUCUUUAUGGCUGUCCGAGUUGUAAUCUAGAGAAGUGCUUUCCGCGUUGGACCGUGUACAAGUCUCUUGGAAUAGAGCAUCAUAGAGGGGGAGAUCCCGUCUUUGACACGGACUACCAGUGCUUAUGUGAUGCGCUCUCGAAGAGUCGAGUUGUUUGGGAAUGCAGCUCAAAAUGGGUGGUAAAUCC
RNAcentral lists this ribosomal RNA (315 nucleotides) under uncultured Hygrophoraceae. Its description in RNAcentral is "eukaryotic LSU rRNA". It matches the Rfam family "Eukaryotic large subunit ribosomal RNA", at positions 1 to 306 of the family's 3401-position model. The record is from RNAcentral. Lineage: Eukaryota; Fungi; Basidiomycota; Agaricomycetes; Agaricales; Hygrophoraceae.